GCUUAACACAUGCAAGUCGAACGCAACCUUCGGGUUGAGUGGCGGACGGGUGAGUAACGCGUGAGAAUCUGCCUUGGGGUCGGGGACAACCACUGGAAACGGUGGCUAAUACCGGAUAAGCCUUUGGGUAAAAGAUUUAUUGCCCCAAGAGGAGCUCGCGUCUGAUUAGCUAGUUGGUGAGGUAAAAGCUCACCAAGGCAGCGAUCAGUAGCUGGUCUGAGAGGACGAUCAGCCACACUGGGACUGAGACACGGCCCAGACUCCUACGGGAGGCAGCAGUGGGGAAUUUUCCGCAAUGGGCGAAAGCCUGACGGAGCAAGACCGCGUGAGGGAGGAAGGCUCUUGGGUUGUAAACCUCUUUUCUCAGGGAAGAAGCUCUGACGGUACCUGAGGAAUCAGCCUCGGCUAACUCCGUGCCAGCAGCCGCGGUAAUACGGAGGAGGCAAGCGUUAUCCGGAAUUAUUGGGCGUAAAGCGUCCGCAGGUGGCGAUUCAAGUCUGCUGUCAAAGCACGGGGCUUAACUCCGUUAAGGGACUGGAAACUGAAUAGCUAGAGUGCCGUAGGGGUAGAGGGAAUUCCCGGUGUAGCGGUGACAUGCGUAGAGAUCGGGAAGAACAUCGGUGGCGAAAGCGCUCUACUGGACGGCAACUGACACUCAGGGACGAAAGCUAGGGG
RNAcentral lists this ribosomal RNA (675 nucleotides) under uncultured organism. RNAcentral's name for it is "bacterial SSU rRNA". It matches the Rfam family "Bacterial small subunit ribosomal RNA", at positions 46 to 766 of the family's 1533-position model. The record is from RNAcentral.